GGAAGUGUGCCCGAUAAUGAGGG
This 23-nucleotide transfer RNA is filed under the name Pristimantis sp. QCAZ 17505. RNAcentral describes it as "partial tRNA-Ile". Lineage: Eukaryota; Metazoa; Chordata; Amphibia; Anura; Strabomantidae. The record is from RNAcentral.